Rhipicephalus microplus (southern cattle tick) is the source of this 586-nucleotide long non-coding RNA. The record is from RefSeq and is a predicted model, not a curated record. Lineage: Eukaryota; Metazoa; Arthropoda; Arachnida; Ixodida; Ixodidae.
CAAGAGUAUACGCCCGAACAGGCGAUCGUAGCGUGGUGGGAGCCUAUGGUUAGUACCGCAUACAGAAGGUGCAUACCGUGCUCUACAACUGAGCGUGAUAUUUUUUCAACAUUGACCUCGGGCUGCACUUUGUGUUGCUCGGCUUCUUUUAGUCCGAGAAUGAUAUGCCGAGAGAUAAUGAAGCGUUUGGUCGGCUUCCAUAUGUGGCGACACCCUCGCCCCAGUUUCACAACCAUGGAAAAUGGCACGAGAUCGGUGUGAGGUUGUUCGCUGCGCUCGUUCGAAAGCAGGCCGAAGAGUGAUAAGAAGAUGAGCGGAGAGGAACAUGGAGGCCUUGUUGAUCGCCUUCUUCGUGAUUGGCUUGGCGAUGGUCUUGCUCAGCGUCCGCUGCUGUUGGGUUCUAAUGAAGAUCUGGACAGUGCGACCACCGUCCAACACGAUCCAGGAACAGGAACUGCCAGAAGAUCGUGACGAUCGACAAGUCGAGUUCUCGGAAUGGACAAACGCGGUCACGUGAAGGCUCCGCUGAGGUAACGCAUCUCUGCGUUGCGUGAACGCAUAGGUGCUUAAAGCCAGAAAUCAACAC